GAUUGAAUGAAGAAGCAUGUGCUAUGAAGGACAAAAAUAUGGCAGAAAGAAUAUCUUCUUUACAUGAAGAUAUUAAAGAUAAAAAAAACAGCACAAAGAAGAUUUAGACUGCUUGAAGAAGGGACAAGAGGAGAUUGUUCGUUUGUUACUUUCACUGACAGAAGUGGUAAAUCAAAGACUUUCGCACAAAUGUGAAAGUGAAAAACAAUCUUAAGAGCCCUUGGAAAAGAAUACUCCUCCAUCAAUAAGUUUAGAAAUGAUUGAUGCUGAUGUUGAUAAAGAGAAAGAGAUAAUGAGAAAAUCGAGGAAGAUGAUAAUCAUCGUGAAAAUAAGUCAAAAAUGGUGCAUGACACAUCAAACAAAGUGAAGAAAAAGCAAAAGUGAAAAUUACGGAAAUAGCGACGAAUAUUGAAAAUGCUAGGCCGGAGAGACAACCUAAACCAUCAAAGAAAGUGUUGGAGAAUGUGAAAAAGCAAAAGAAUGCAGGAGGCAAGAAGAAUGAUUCUCCAAAACCAACAAGACAUUCUCCUAGAAUAAAGGAUCUUGCACCUAGUUUUGAUUUGCAAAUCUCUCAAUUAUAAGUAGAUGAAUAUU
Cucumis melo (muskmelon) is the source of this 594-nucleotide long non-coding RNA. RefSeq lists it as uncharacterized. The record is from RefSeq and is a predicted model, not a curated record. The transcript is spliced from 3 exons. NCBI's taxonomy places the organism in Eukaryota, Viridiplantae, Streptophyta, Magnoliopsida, Cucurbitales, Cucurbitaceae.